AUGAACGCUAGCGGCAGGCCUAAUACAUGCAAGACGAACGGUAACUUUUGUAGCAAUAUGAGAGCUAAAGUGUCGUAAGGGUGCGUAACACGUAUGCAAUCUGCCCUCAACAGGAGGAUAGCUCCCCGAAAGGGGAAUUAACACUCCGUAAUAUUAUGAGGUGGCAUCAUUUUAUAAUUAAAACUGAGGUGGUUGAGGAUGAGCAUGCGCAUGAUUAGUUAGUUGGCGGGGUAACGGCCCACCAAGACGAUGAUCAUUAGGGGAACUGAGAGGUUGAUCCCCCACACUGGCACUGAGAUACGGGCCAGACUCCUACGGGAGGCAGCAGUAGGGAAUAUUGGACAAUGGGUGCGAGCCUGAUCCAGCCAUGCCGCGUGCAGGAAGACGGCCUUCUGGGUUGUAAACUGCUUUUGCCAGGGGAUAAAAAGUCCCUGCGGGGAAAAUUGAAGGUACCUGGUGAAUAAGCCACGGCUAACUACGUGC
This 483-nucleotide ribosomal RNA is filed under the name uncultured bacterium. Its description in RNAcentral is "bacterial SSU rRNA". It matches the Rfam family "Bacterial small subunit ribosomal RNA", at positions 29 to 508 of the family's 1533-position model. The record is from RNAcentral.